UCAAACGAAGCAAACCAUUUCUCAUAAGAGAAUAGAAAAUCACAAGAAAGAUUUGAUCAAAAGUGACUAGAAAAGAGGCGGUCGAGAAGGAAUGAGUGGAAACUAUGUUGAUUGAGUGCAAUUUCUAAACUAGGAAAGAUUAGACAGAAUCCUACGUACCAAUCUAAAUCAAAGUUUCCAACAGUGAAAGGCUGCCCCUGUCGGCGGGUUGCUUAGGUCCAUGUAGUCCAAAUCUCCGCUUAGGAAAGAAGUCCAAGUUGACUUUUUGCGAAAGGAAAAAUGGCUUUCUCUUAGAGAGUGAUCGAGAGAAAUUUUCAGUUCGGAGCCAGUCUUUUGCAGCUAGGAGACAUUGUUGUUAUGUUUUCCAGUUAUGAGCCAUUGUUGUGUGGUCGAGCGGUUCCUUCUUUUUUUUUUCGAUGAUUUAAAGGCGACAGCUCUUUUCACCAAGGAACUGGGGCUUAGAGCUAUAACACAUACGCAAGAAGGAAGAAUGCCUUAAUGGACGGGUACGCUAAGGAAGGGGAGUCGCUUGCUUGUUUGGUGUGUUUGGAACCGGGUUGUUUAAAGCUACCCUUUCUUGAAGAAAGAGAACCUGGGC
Molecule: long non-coding RNA, 598 nt
Filed under: Gossypium barbadense (sea-island cotton)
Lineage: Eukaryota; Viridiplantae; Streptophyta; Magnoliopsida; Malvales; Malvaceae
Description: long non-coding RNA (GBAR_LNC013965)
Source: RNAcentral